Molecule: ribosomal RNA, 420 nt
Filed under: uncultured bacterium
Lineage: Bacteria
Description: bacterial SSU rRNA
Rfam family: Bacterial small subunit ribosomal RNA
Source: RNAcentral
GUACGCUGGCGGCACGCCUUAUACAUGCAAGUCGAACGAAGUAGCAAUACUUAGUGGCAGACGGGUGAGUAACAUGUAGGUAUCUUCCCUUUGGUGAGGAAUAACACGAGGAAACUUGUGCUAAUACCUCAUAAGUCUUCACGGAGAAAGCUUUAUGCGCCGAAGGAUGAGCCUGCACUUGAUUAGUUUGUUGGUGGGGUAAUGGCCUACCAAGACUGUGAUCUAUAGCUGAUCUGAGAGGAUGAUCAGCCACAUUGGGACUGAGACACGGCCCAAACUCCUACGGGAGGCAGCAGUAGGGAAUAUUGCACAAUGGAGGAAACUCUGAUGCAGCGAUGCCGCGUGAGUGAAGAAGGCCUUUGGGUUGUAAAGCUCUUUCGUCGGGGAAGAAAAUGACUGUACCCGAAUAAGAAGGUCCGG